This 434-nucleotide ribosomal RNA is filed under the name Klebsiella pneumoniae. Its description in RNAcentral is "bacterial SSU rRNA". It matches the Rfam family "Bacterial small subunit ribosomal RNA", at positions 337 to 787 of the family's 1533-position model. The record is from RNAcentral. Lineage: Bacteria; Pseudomonadati; Pseudomonadota; Gammaproteobacteria; Enterobacterales; Enterobacteriaceae.
UCCUACGGGAGGCUGCAGUGGGGGAUAUUGCACAAUGGGGGAAACCCUGAUGCAGCGACGCCGCGUGUGGGAAGACGGUCUUCUGGAUUGUAAACCACUGUCCCCAGGGACGAAAAUGACGGUACCUGGGGAGGAAGCUCCGGCUAACUACGUGCCAGCAGCCGCGGUAAUACGUAGGGAGCAAGCGUUAUCCGGAUUUACUGGGUGUAAAGGGCGUGUAGGCGGGCAUGCAAGCCAGAAGUGAAAUCUGGGGGCUUAACCCCCAAACUGCUUUUGGAACUGCGUGUCUUGAGUGAUGGAGAGGCAGGCGGAAUUCCCAGUGUAGCGGUGAAAUGCGUAGAUAUUGGGAGGAACACCAGUGGCGAAGGCGGCCUGCUGGACAUUAACUGACGCUGAGGCGCGAAAGCGUGGGGAGCAAACAGGAUUAGAUACCC